This 441-nucleotide ribosomal RNA is filed under the name uncultured bacterium. RNAcentral's name for it is "partial 16S ribosomal RNA". It matches the Rfam family "Bacterial small subunit ribosomal RNA", at positions 338 to 795 of the family's 1533-position model. The record is from RNAcentral.
CCUACGGGUGGCAGCAGUGGGGAAUCUUCCACAAUGGGGGAAACCCUGAUGCAGCGACGCCGCGUGAGUGAAGAAGUAUUUCGGUAUGUAAAGCUCUAUCAUCAGGGAAGAAGAAAGACGGUACCUGACUAAUCAGCCCCGGCUAACUACGUGCCAGCAGCCGCGGUAAUACUGAGGGGGCGCGCAUGAUCCGGAUUUACUGUGUGGAAAGGGAGCGUAGACGGCUGUGCAAGUCUGAAGUGAAAGCCCAGGGCUCAAACCUGGGACUGCUUUGGAAACUGUGGAGCUAGAGUGCUGGAGAGGUAAGUGGAAUUCCUAGUGUAGCGGUGAAAUGCGUAGAUAUUAGGAGGAACACCAGUGGCGAAGGCGGCUUACUGGACAGUAACUGACGUUGAGGCUCGAAAGCGUGGGGAGCAAACAGGAUUAGAUACCCCUGUAGUC